GACGAACGCUGGCGGCGUGCUUAACACAUGCAAGUCGAACGGAAAGGCCCCUUCGGGGGUACUCGAGUGGCGAACAGGUGAGUAACACGUGAGUAACCUGCCCUUGACUUCGGGAUAACUUCAGGAAACUGGGGCUAAUACCGGAUAGGAAUCCUUGCUGCAUGGUGGGGGUUGGAAAGCUUCGGCGGUUUUGGAUGGACUCGCGGCUUAUCAGCUUGUUGGUGGGGUAGUGGCUUACCAAGGCUUUGACGGGUAGCCGGCCUGAGAGGGCGACCGGCCACAGUGGGACUGAGAUACGGCCCAGACGCCUACGGGAGGCAGCAGUGGGGAAUAUUGCACAAUGGGCGGAAGCCUGAUGCAGCAACGCCGCGGGCGGGAUGACGGCCUUCGGGUUGUAAACCGCUUUCAGCAGGGGCGAAGCUUGUGGUGACGGUACCUGCAGAAGAAGCACCGGCUAACUACGUG
This 465-nucleotide ribosomal RNA is filed under the name uncultured bacterium. RNAcentral describes it as "partial 16S ribosomal RNA". It matches the Rfam family "Bacterial small subunit ribosomal RNA", at positions 28 to 507 of the family's 1533-position model. The record is from RNAcentral.